RNAcentral lists this ribosomal RNA (301 nucleotides) under uncultured bacterium. RNAcentral describes it as "partial 16S ribosomal RNA". It matches the Rfam family "Bacterial small subunit ribosomal RNA", at positions 509 to 807 of the family's 1533-position model. The record is from RNAcentral.
CAGUAGCCACGGUAAUACGUAGGGUCCGAGCGUUGUCCGGAAUUACUGGGCGUAAAGAGCUCGUAGGUGGUUUGUCGCGUUGUUCGUGAAAACUCACAACUCAAUUGUGGGCGUGCGGGCGAUACGGGCAGACUGGAGUACUGCAGGGGAGACUGGAAUUCCUGGUGUAGCGGUGGAAUGCGCAGAUAUCAGGAGGAACACCGGUGGCGAAGGCGGGUCUCUGGGCAGUAACUGACGCUGAGGAGCGAAAGCGUGGGGAGCGAACAGGAUUAGAUACCCGAGUAGUCCCUGUCUCUUAUAC